Molecule: long non-coding RNA, 500 nt
Filed under: Chloebia gouldiae (Gouldian finch)
Lineage: Eukaryota; Metazoa; Chordata; Aves; Passeriformes; Passeridae
Description: Erythrura gouldiae (Gouldian finch) lncRNA (ENSEGOG00005000241.1)
Source: RNAcentral
AAAAGACAGCAUCUGAAACCACCAGAGGAAGAUCUGCCAGAGCCAAGCGCCAAAGGUCUAUGGCCAAACUCUUGCCAUGUAUUCAGGAGGCAUAAAAACAAGGCAUGCCCAGAAGGUCUUCAAGAAUCCGAGAUAUUAUAGCUGUGUUUAUGCUGAUAAACCUGUCAUGGACAGGGACUGUUCUCUUGUCCCUGUCACAGAGCAUGUGGUGCUGUGUCUCCUCUGAGCAAAUGGUUUCUUCAAAUGAUUUUCCUCAGGCAAUGGAAAAGGAGCCCAGAAAACAAUUUGUUUAUUAUAAGCAGGUCAGUCCUCGGGGGGAUUCAUGGAAUCACGCAGUGGGAGAGGACAAUCAUGGCACUGAAAUGAGAUGUGGGAAGACCAAAAGAAGGAGGAUCAUGAAUGAGCACUUAUGUUUUUGUACCCCAAAUAGUGAGUGCUUCAGAAGAAGGAAAAAACCCAUUGCUUUGGAUGGCAUUCUUGAAGUAUUGGAAAGCCUCUGA